UUCCGGUUGAUCCUGCCGGAGGUCACUGCUAUUGGGAUUCGGCUAAGCCAUGCAAGCGGAGGGCGCGGUCGAAAGAUCGUGGCCCCGCACACUGCUCAGUAACACGUAGUCAAUCUACCCUUGGGACGGGGACAACCUCGGGAAACUGAGGCUAAUCCCCGAUAGGUGAGGGACGCUGGAAUGCCUCCUCGCCCAAAGCUCCGGCGCCCAAGGAUGGGACUGCGGUCUAUCAGGCUGUUGGCGGUGUAACGGACCACCAAACCUACGACGGGUACGGGCGAUGGGAGUCGGAGCCCGGAGAUGGGGACUGAGACAAGGCCCCAGGCCCUACGGGGCGCAGCAGGCGCGAAAACUCCGCAAUGCGCGCAAGCGUGACGGGGGAAUCCCAAGUGCCGUUGGUCUUAUGAUCGACGGUUUUUAGGAAGUCUAAGAAGCUCCCAGAAUAAGGGCUGGGCAAGACUGGUGCCAGCCGCCGCGGUAACACCAGCAGCCCAAGUGGUGACCACGAUUAUUGGGCCUAAAGCGCUCGUAGCCGGAUCAGCAAGUCCCUUGUGAAAUCGGGCCGCCUAACGGUUCGGCGUGCAAGGGAUACUGUUGGUCUUGAGGCCGGGAGAGGUCGGGGGUACUCCUGGGGUAGCGGUGAAAUGCUCUAAUCCUAGGGGGACCACCAGUGGCGAAGGCGUCCGACCAGAACGGACCUGACGGUGAGGGGCGAAGGCUAGGGGAGCGAACGGGAUUAGAUACCCCGGUAGUCCUAGCUGUAAAGCAUGCGGGCCAGGUGUCUAGCGCUCCUUGAGGGCGCUAGGUGCCGGAGGGAAGCCGUUAAGCCCGCCGCCUGGGAAGUACGGUCGCAAGGCUGAAACUUAAAGAAAUUGGCGGGGGAGCACCACAAGAGUGGGACCUGCGGUUCAAUUGGACUCAACGCCGGU
Molecule: ribosomal RNA, 929 nt
Filed under: uncultured archaeon
Lineage: Archaea
Description: bacterial SSU rRNA
Rfam family: Archaeal small subunit ribosomal RNA
Source: RNAcentral